Molecule: ribosomal RNA, 3028 nt
Filed under: soil metagenome
Description: bacterial LSU rRNA
Rfam family: Bacterial large subunit ribosomal RNA
Source: RNAcentral
UCAAGCUACUAAGAGCGUGUGUGUGGAUGCCUAGGCGCAAGAAGGCGAAGAAGGACGCGAUCAGCUGCGAUAAGCCUCGGGAAGCCGCUAAUAGGCUGUGAUCCGGGGAUUUCCGAAUGGGGAAACCCAAUGAGUGCGAACACUCAUUACGUAUAUCUGAAUACAUAGGGUGUACGAGCGAACUCGGGGAAGUGAACCAUCUCAGUACCCGAAGGAAGAGAAAACAACAGUGAUUCCGCAAGUAGUGGCGAGCGAACGCGGAAAAGUCUAAACCAGGCGAUUCGAAAGGAGAGCUUGGGGUUGCAGGACCACAAUAAUCAAGUGGCCUUUCCGUGACGAACGGAAGGAUCGCUUGGUUAAACGAGGGAUAGGAAAGUGUUAAUCGAACGGUCUGGAAAGGCCGGCCAUAGAGCGUGACAGCCGCGUAGGUGAAAAUGCAAUCCUCCUUCCAGUGGCUCCUAAGUAGGGCGGGGCACGAGAAACCCUGCUUGAAUCCGCCGGGACCAUCCGGCAAGGCUAAAUACUCGUUUGCGACCGAUAGUGAACCAGUACCGUGAGGGAAAGGUGAAAAGAACCCCUGCGAGGGGAGUGAAAUAGUACCUGAAACCACACGCCUACAAGCAGUUGGAGGGCUAUGCUCCGCAAGGAGAAUGCCUGACAUCGUGCCUAUUGCAUAAUGAGCUGGCUAGUUAUUCUCAGUGGCAAGGUUAAGCGAAAGCGAGCCGAAGCGAAAGCGAGUCUGAACAGGGCGAUGGAGUCGCUGGGAAUAGACGCGAAGCGGGAUGAUCUACCCUUGGCCAGGAUGAAGGCCGUGUAACAGCGGCUGGAGGUCCGAACCAGUGUUGGUUGAAAACAGCUUGGAUGAGCUGAGGGUAGGGGUGAAAGGCUAAUCAAAUUCCGUGAUAGCUCGUUCUCUCCGAAAUAGCUUUAGGGCUAGCCUCUCGUGGUCCGUCGCGGUGGUAGAGAACUGAUUGGACUAGGGGCCUUCCCAGGUUACCGAAUCCAACCAAACUGCGAAUGCCGUGAAUGUGUAGCGAGGGAGUCAGACAGUGGGGGCUAAGCUUCAUUGUCGAAAGGGAAACAGCCCAGACCGUCAACUAAGGUCCCCAAAUUCAUGCUCAGUGGGAAAGGAAGUCGGGACGCUCAGACAGCCAGGAGGUUGGCUUAGAAGCAGCCAUCCUUUAAAGAAAGCGUAAUAGCUCACUGGUCAAGUGGCUCUGCGCGGACAAUUCAACGGGGCUCAAGCACGAUACCGAAGCUGCGUCUGCGAUCAGGAUGCGUCUUGGUCGCGGGGUAGAGGAGCAUUCCGUGCGCGUCGAAGGCAGACCGAAAGGAUUGCUGGAGCGCACAGAAGAGACCCUGCCGGCACAAGUAGCGAUAAAGCAGCCGAGAACGCUGCUCGCCGAAAGUCUAAGGUUUCCUGAGCAAGGUCAAUCCGCUCAGGGUCAGUCGGAUCCUAAGGUGAGGCCGAGAGGCGUAGCCGAUGGACAACAGGUCAACAUUCCUGUACUUCCUUUCGGGUGAUCAAGACCGAUGGGGUGACGCAGGAGGCUAGGUGGACCCAUCCGUUGGUCGAGAUGGGCCAAGCUCGUAGGCGAGAGGGACAGGCAAAUCCGUUCCUCUGGUUCACAGCCGCCGCCGAGAAGUGAGUGCGAGGCCGCAAGGCCGUAAAGCCACCGAUGCCACGCUGCCGAGAAAAACCUCUAAGGAAUCCGGAGGGAAUCCGUACCGCAAUCCGACACAGGUAGACAAGGAGAAAAUCCUCAGGCGCUCGAGUGAAGCGAUGCGAAGGAACUCGGCAAAUUGACACCGUAACUUCGGAAUAAGGUGUGCCCCAUGGCGUGUAGGGAUUUACUCCUGAAGCGCCGCGGGGUUGCAAUGAAAAGGCCCAGGCGACUGUUUAUCAAAAACACAGGACUCUGCGAAGUCGAAAACGACGUAUAGGGUCUGACGCCUGCCCGGUGCUGGAAGGUUAAGGAGAGGGGUCAGCCGCAAGGCAAAGCUCUGAACCGAAGCCCCAGUAAACGGCGGCCGUAACUAUAACGGUCCUAAGGUAGCGAAAUUCCUUGUCGGGUAAGUUCCGACCUGCACGAAUGGCGUAACGAUCUGAGAACUGUCUUAACCUGCCGCCCGGCGAACUUGUGGUCCCGGUGAAGACGCCGGGUGCCCGCCACUAGACGGAAAGACCCCGUGCACCUUUACUAUACCCUUUCAUGGAACUAUGGGGCGAUCUGCGCAGGAUAGGUGGGAGGCUUUGAUUCCGGGUUCUCGGACUCGGAGGAGCCAACGGUGAGAUACCACCCUGAUGGUUCUGUGGUUCUAACUUACUCCCGUAAUCCGGGAGAAGGACAAUGGAAGGCGGGUAGUUUGACUGGGGCGGUCGCCUCCUAAAUUGUAACGGAGGCGCUCGAAGCUUGGUUCACUCUGUUUGGAAAUCAGAGGGCGAGUGCAAAGGCAUAAACCAGGUUGACUGCGAGACCUACAAGUCAAGCAGGUGGGAAACCAGGACUUAGUGAUCCGGUGGUUCUGUAUGGAAGGGCCAUCGCUCAACGGAUAAAAGGUACGCCGGGGAUAACAGGCUGAUCUUGCCCAAGAGUUCACAUCGACGGCAAGGUUUGGCACCUCGAUGUCGGCUCAUCGCAUCCUGGGGCUGAAGCAGGUCCCAAGGGUCCGGCUGUUCGCCGGUUAAAGCGGUACGUGAGCUGGGUUCAGAACGUCGUGAGACAGUUCGGUCCCUAUCUCGUGUGGGCGCAGGAAAUUUGCGGGGCCCCGACCCUAGUACGAGAGGACCGGGUUGGACGAACCUCCUGUGCACCGGUUGUCGCGCCAGCGGCACACGCCGGGUAGCGGAGUUCGGUCUGGAUAAACGCUGAAGGCAUAUAAGCGUGAAGCCGACCCCAAGAUGAGAUUUCCCCGGGGCGCAAGCCCCCUGAAGGACCGUGGGAGAUGACCACGUUGAUAGGCCGGGUGUGGAAGCGCUGCGAGGCGCGAAGCUGACCGGUACUAAUCGUCCGUGCGGCUUGGCCAU